CCCUUAGAUGUUCUGGGCUGCACGCGCGCUACACUGAUGCGCUCAACGAGUUUACGACCUUGCCCGGAAGGGUUGGGUAAUCUUUUUAAAACGCAUCGUGAUGGGGAUAGAUUAUUGCAAUUAUUAAUCUUUAACGAGGAAUUCCUAGUAAGCGCGAGUCAUCAGCUCGUGCUGAUUACGUCCCUGCCCUUUGUACACACCGCCCGUCGCUCCUACCGAUUGAGGGAUCCGGUGAAUAAUUCGGACUGCAGCAGUGUUCAGUUCCUGAACGUUGCAGCGGAAAGUUUAGUGAACCUUAUCACUUAGAGGAAGGAGAAGUCGUAACA
This 326-nucleotide ribosomal RNA is filed under the name uncultured eukaryote. RNAcentral describes it as "partial 18S ribosomal RNA". It matches the Rfam family "Eukaryotic small subunit ribosomal RNA", at positions 1470 to 1796 of the family's 1831-position model. The record is from RNAcentral.